GUGCUCACUUCAGCAGCUCAUAUACUAAAAUUGGAAUGAUACAGAGAUUAGCAUGACCCCCUAGGCAAGGAUGACGCACAAAUUCAUGAAACAUUCCAUUAAAAU
Molecule: small nuclear RNA, 105 nt
Organism: Nannospalax galili (Upper Galilee mountains blind mole rat)
Lineage: Eukaryota; Metazoa; Chordata; Mammalia; Rodentia; Spalacidae
Source: Ensembl